This 1888-nucleotide long non-coding RNA is filed under the name Salvia miltiorrhiza (redroot sage). Its description in RNAcentral is "long non-coding RNA (SMIL_LNC007916)". Lineage: Eukaryota; Viridiplantae; Streptophyta; Magnoliopsida; Lamiales; Lamiaceae. The record is from RNAcentral.
CUAGGUUUAAAUUUUAUGCAUAGCUCGAAUUCAUUCAUUAUUCUUUCCAAAGUCAUAUUUCCUACUGUAUCUUCUAUUUUAGUCGAGUUCCAGCCAUCAUAUAACAAUUUACCAGUUUCUUCAUCUUUUUUCCAAUAACCCCAAAAAUUAAACACAAAGUUGACCUUUGCAUCAGACAUUCUGCACAACCAAAACACACAAAAAGAACACAAUAUAAACAUUCAAGACAUGCUAUUAAUGAUUCAUCUAAUAGAGAAAUAGUGUAGAAUAGGUUUGCAUGCUCUGGAAAAAUAAAUAUCAAUGUUAAGGCAUGACUUACCUAUUUUCGGAACUGGAUUAGUUUCGUCGUCGGAACACUCGUAUCACUUGAAGAAAUCGCCGGAACAGUCUUCUUCUCCUUCGAUUUCGUCUGCAGAUUGUGAGUUUGAAAAAUGGAAGAAAAACUCUUCGUAUCCUUAGGUAUUUACACCAACCCGCGUAAAUAGUUGGAAGGUGGGCCCCACGCGAAAAUAAAAUACAAAAAAAUUUAUUUAAGAAACGGCGUCUUUGGGCCGUCAAACGAGUGGGCUUAAGUGUAGUAUUUCUAUGGGCUAUGGGGAGUUAUUUGGGCCUGAGCCGAGUGUGGGGAGCGGAACGCUCUAGGGGUGUGGACUUCAGGGGUGAAUAUGCACUUCAACCCUUUAUUAAAUGUUCUAUUUUAUUAUUUUCCUUGUUUCUUAUUAAGUGUCCCAUUUCAAAAUUUGAGAGUAUAAUUAUGACAUUCUUCCUAUUUUAUCCUUAUUUAAUACUUGUAUGAAUAUAAUAAAUAGUUGUAUAUAUGCAUUUAUUAUGAUAAUUACUCAGGUUACAAAUGUAAAUAUCUUAUUUUAUUCGUACGUGUAUUUUAACGGCUGAGGACACUUAAUAAAAAACGGAAGGAGUAUUAAUUAGAAUCUUAAAAAGAAACUUAAUUAACCUCAACCUUAAUAAUAAGUCAACGCUUUAAUUAUUUGUCUUAAAUUUAUUACUCCAUUCCUCCCCCCUUUGAUAGUUUACGUUACUUUUCAACACAUAUUUUAUAAUAUUAUUUAUAUAUAUAUAAUUGUUCUAUUUUGCACUUAUUUAGUAUUUUACAUAUUAUCUUCACACACAUUGAAUAUUCAUAAAACUUUGUUUUAUGAAUAGCACUUCAAAUCAUUAGACAACAGUAUUUGAAAUAGUAUUAGUACUUUAUAAUGUGAAUUAAUAAAAAUACAAAGAAAAUGCAUAAAAUAACAACAAUAAUAUUAAUAAGUGGCUAAAAAUAAUUACAUAUUAUUUUCACACACAUUAAAAUAAUCAUAAUCAUGCGCAUUAUCAUAUUAUUCAAAUCUAAGGAGAAGGAAAUAUACCUUAUUAAUUUUUUGUGAAUUUCGUUCUUAUUUUGACUUUCCAGUUGAGUCCUCCCUUUCCCCUUAACUUCGUUCGUCUUGAUCUUCCCUUGUCUCGCCAGCUGAGUGUGAUCUGAAUGUAUAUUAUCAUAAUAUAUGAGAACAUAUUCUUAGUAACAUGAAUUAAAUUUAUUUAAAGGGAAAAUACCUGUUUUUCUUUCUUUUUUUCUGCAAUACGUUUUGCCUGUUAUCUAGGCUCGUCUCUAUCUUCUUGUAUGUAUCUUCCGAUUCAAUCCUCCCGCGAUGAGCUACGUCGUAAUUGAAAGGGGUUUUGAUCUCUCAAACUUCACCAUACAAACAAGAGGCCGAAAAAUGAUAACUUAAUUUUCCUUUCUAUAGCCCUCUGUGUUUGACACUAUUCUAGAUCUGUUUUCUUCUCUAGAUAGGAACCUAAUUAAUAAUUAUUCUAAACAAACAUUGCAGCUAAUUAAAUAUUACAACCAUUUGUAUAUAUUAAUUAGUCCUUAGAAAGUUGCGAU